RNAcentral lists this ribosomal RNA (468 nucleotides) under uncultured bacterium. Its description in RNAcentral is "partial 16S ribosomal RNA". It matches the Rfam family "Bacterial small subunit ribosomal RNA", at positions 28 to 507 of the family's 1533-position model. The record is from RNAcentral.
GACGAACGCUGGCGGCGUGCUUAACACAUGCAAGUCGAACGGAAAGGCCCUGCUUUUGUGGGGUGCUCGAGUGGCGAACGGGUGAGUAACACGUGAGUAACCUGCCCUUGACUGUGGGAUAACUUCAGGAAACUGGGGCUAAUACCGGAUAGGAGCUCCUGCUGCAUGGUGGGGGUUGGAAAGUUUCGGCGGUUGGGGAUGGACUCGCGGCUUAUCAGGUUGUUGGUGGGGUAGUGGCUUACCAAGGCUUUGACGGGUAGCCGGCCUGAGAGGGUGAGCGGCCACAUUGGGACUGAGAUACGGCACAGACUCGUAUGGGAGGCAGCAGUGGGGAAUAUUGCACAAUGGGCGGAAGCCUGAUGCAGCAACGCCGCGUGGGGGAUAACGGCCUUCGGGUUGUAAACUGCUUUCGCCUGUGACGAAGCGUGAGUGACGGUAAUGGGUAAAGAAGCACCGGCUAACUACGUG